GCCAGGGCAUCAAACUGCUCCGGUCGAACUUGAGGCGCUGACUCGGCCGGAGGUGGUGAGUUCCGAACGGAACGUUCUGGACUUGGUGGAGGACGUCGAGAGGCAUUGGAAGCCCCUUUGCUUCUUAGCUUCAUGGCAGCGAACUCGGGCCCUUCCUCUAGCGCCAACUGUUGCUGGAAAUUGGACCCGGGGGCCGCCACGAAGCCAGGGGAAGGAGGGGCUCCGCCGCAGGGACAGUGGAUGACCGUGCGCCGGCUGGUGGCGUCCUCCUGGAGGGGUGCAAGUCCGCCGUAGGAGCGGUGGUCGAUGGCGUGCCGGCGGGUGGCGUCCUCCUG
This 335-nucleotide long non-coding RNA is filed under the name Phoenix dactylifera (date palm). RNAcentral describes it as "long non-coding RNA (PDAC_LNC000649)". The record is from RNAcentral. Lineage: Eukaryota; Viridiplantae; Streptophyta; Magnoliopsida; Arecales; Arecaceae.